Molecule: long non-coding RNA, 1230 nt
Filed under: Sus scrofa (pig)
Lineage: Eukaryota; Metazoa; Chordata; Mammalia; Artiodactyla; Suidae
Description: lncRNA (ENSSSCG00015057887.1)
Source: RNAcentral
CCGGAAUAGUUCCAGCCCAAGAGGCCCUCUGUCCCCAGCCGACUCCAGGAGCCCUGGUACAAUAAUUAACAUGUGGGCCAGAGGCCCGGACUCAUUGGCACAGGACAGAUUCUCCGAUGAGAAACAGAGAAGUCCCAAAUCCCACUCACACAAAGGGCGUGUUGACACACUAUCUGCUGAGAAGCGCGAGCCUUCCGGGGAGAGCGCAAGGCAGAGGGGAAGCAGAGGGACGGCCGCAGACCAGGGGCACGCCUGCCCCGUUUCGAGCCCCUCCGGCUUUCCCCAGAGUGUUCUCGAAGGUCGGGCGCUCAGGUGGACUUUGGACUGGCUAACUAGCAUUUCCCCAAAGCACCGACGUCACAGAAGCCACAAGAAUCCAGACGGCGUCGUCCCACAUACGGGACAGGGACGGCAUCGGCAUCCUCAGAGCCUCGUCUCCUCUGGAAGGAUUGCUUCCUGCCAGGAAAUCCCGAUCCAAUUUCAGGAAUACUCUGGGGGCCCCUCUCGGGUCUGAUGUCAGACCCUGUGGCACAGGCACACGGGACACUCUGGCUAGCCUAGGUCACGGGCCAAGCCCUGGGGAUGGGCAGCAUACCCUGAGUGCCAUUAGUACGCUGUGGAUCUGGGGGAACGUUCUUGCAAAGAACCAGGAAGAAAUGGGCUGGACAGAACCUCUGGCUCCUGGGCUGCGUCACCAGGGACCGGGGGGCUCUGGGUGGGGAGGAAGCGUGAACGGGGAGCAGAGGAGGAGAUGGCUCAGGAGAGACGCUGCGACGAUGCUGUGGCAUGGGCAUGGAAUACCGCCCUGUAGGAGGUCUCUCCCCAAAGCCGAGAGGCUCUCGCCUGCGUAUCAAGAGCUGUUUACACAACCGAUCCCAGCGCAGCCUGGCAUUUAGCGGUCACUUGAGAAGAGCCACGUAAUGCCAGAGUGCGAACGGUGGACUGUGCAGAAAAUGAGGGCGUGCAGAGCAUGGAGAAGCCUUCUCGUGCCCCUUCUGCGUCUCCCUCUCCAGGGAAACCUUUAGCAGCCCGGAAGUCCCCUCCCCUGGAGCAAGAAGAUGAACCCGGUGAGAGAGACCAGGCCUUCCUGCAUCGCCAGUUUCGACUGGAAUUUCACAGCUGCAAGAGAACGUGGGGGUCGGGUGGUCGAGCAGCAGCAGCAGCAAAACUAGCCCAGGGGCUAAAUCCCCGCACCUGUAUUUUUGGAAAUAAAUUAUGACUGCAUUCCCA